RNAcentral lists this ribosomal RNA (1560 nucleotides) under Triticum aestivum (bread wheat). Its description in RNAcentral is "partial small subunit ribosomal RNA". The record is from RNAcentral. Lineage: Eukaryota; Viridiplantae; Streptophyta; Magnoliopsida; Poales; Poaceae.
AUGGACGAUGAUGCCAGAGACUAUCAAGAACCAGUGCCUACAGGACACUGGAAGACCACCUCGUCAUACGACAUACAUAUGGUGGACACCCCAAAGGGAAGCGAUACCGAGGAACAACGGGACGCGGCAGAGGAUAAUCCCGCCGAUAAACAAUCAAAACGGCGACGUAGACGCCGCCCUAAGUCCCGCCUCGAUCAAAGCAGCAUUCCUAACGACCCAACAAUAGAGCAGGGCAAACCAGCGGAUGACGAACAGGACGAGCCGGGUAAUCAACCCCUUCACGGAGCAGUCAACAGUCCGGACGCAACACCGGAGCAUAAGAACCUACACAAAAGACUCGUCGCCACUGCAAGAAGUUUGAAGAAGGAAAAACGGAAGCUCAAAACAGCGGAAGACAUACUCAGAAUGAAGUGGAGCAAAGUACUCAAGACCGCAGACAAAUAUGGCAAUGGCCAUCAAACAAAGAGCUACUCGAAGCGCAAGUUGCUGCCAGAAUUUGACGAGGAAGCCAUAGAGCCCUCACAGUCAAAAAAUAAAGAGGCCGCCUGGCCGGAUAGACGGCCAGAUGACAGGCCAAAAGCGACAAGCGGCGCCGCACACAAGCCGACUUAUGAUCCUGGGAAAACGGACGGCCCAACUAGGUCCAUCUACAGGCCAAAAAAGAGGGCCCCAGGAAAUAACACAACACGACAAGUGUUCGAAGACAGCGGCAUACCCAAAUACAGGGGCGCCGCACACCCGCUAUGUUUUACCGAUGAGGUGCUGGACCAUGAAUUUCCAGCAGGGUUCAAACCCAUAAACAUAGAGGCAUACGAUGGCACAACAGACCCAGGAGUCUGGAUAGAAGAUUACAUACUACACAUACACAUGGCUAGAGGAGAUGAUCUCCACGCCAUAAAAUACCUACCCCUCAAGCUCAAAGGGCCAGCUCGGCAUUGGCUCAAAAGCCUCCCAGAAAACACUGUUGGAAGCUGGGAAGAGCUUGAGGACGCGUUUAGAGCAAAUUUUCAAGGGACUUAUGUACGCCCUCCGGAUGCAGACAAUUUGAGUCAUAUAACUCAACAGCCCGGAGAGUCAGCGCGCAAAUUCUGGAACAGGUUCCUUACCAAAAAGAACCAAAUAGUCGACUGUCCGGACGCGGAAGCCUUAGCAGCUUUUAAACACAACGUCCGGGACGAAUGGCUCGCCAGACACCUCGGCCAAGAGAAGCCAAGAACAAUGGCCGCGCUAACAAGCCUCAUGACGCGCUUUUGCGCAGGAGAAGACAGCUGGCUAGCAAGAUGCAGUACCAGCGACCCGAGUACAUCCGAGAUCAGAGAUGGAAACGGAAAAUCACGGCGCAGGAAAGAUCAGCGCCGGAAUAAAGAAAAAAGACCAAAGGGCACGGCGGUCAACGCCGGAUUCAAAAGCUCACAGCCAAACAAUAAAACACGGCCUCUUAAGGACAACAGCGACGAGCUAUCAAAUUUAAACAAAAUUCUAGAUCGGAUAUGUCAAAUCCACAGUACCUCCGAAAGGCCUGCAAACCAUACCAACCAAAAUUGUUGGGUUUUUAAAUAG